AUUGAAAUCAGUAUGUAAUCUGCACAUCAUCACUUUAUAGAGAGAGAUUGCAAGAGAAAAGGAAAAAAAUGUAUCAUCAAAAGGAUAGUUCCUUACUAGGGUUUCAUCACUUGAUUUUGAGUCAAGGACUGCUCUAUAACCAAUGUGAAUGGAAGCUCUUGAUGCCUGCUUAUCAAGAAUUUUAUCAUCCUUGUCUUGAUCUUGGAAAUACUCAGUAACACAAGCUGCAAUCAUUCUUUGAACUGUGGAGGUCUUCUCCAGACCAGUUUGGCAAUACAAAAAGACUCAUGAAUAGGCAUAUUGCACAACCUAUCGCAAUAGUACUUAAGCGAUCUCGUGCUAAAGGCACCACAUCCUCUUGACGGAAGCUUGAUACUGUUAUCAGAUUGAAAGUUAGCAGGAAAAUCACGACCCCAUAAUCAUAGUUCUUCUUAAUGGAUGGGAAGAAUCUCAAAUAUGUUGCAGCAAAUCCUGUCAAGGAAACAAAGCCAACACAAUAAGCUAUGAUCUUGCAGUAAAAAAAAAAGAAAGAACUUUACAAGGUGCGUACCUAUCAGAAAGACUGAUGAUCCAACAAACAGAGCCCGGAAUACUUUUCCAGAUCGUACUGCUACAAGUUCAAUUAUAAAUGCUAGAGAUCCUGCCAAGAUUGUUCCUAACCCUCUAUUCAGCCCUUUGCAUAUAGUUGCACCUGUUGUUCAGCAGUCACUUGUGAGGAACAUGAAUUUCGGUAAUCACUUAUUUGGAACAAGAAAAGCUACAUCUGGGAAGAACACAUAUUAUUAUUAUUAUCCUGAUGCUAAUGGAUUAUGCACGUUACCUGCAGUAAAUUCAAGCACAACAACAACGGUCAUCACAGCCCACAUUGCAUUCUUUCCCACUCCCUUGAACAACGGUUCAAGUAUGUACAGGAGUGAGACCAGUAAUCGACGAGCUAUUCUUGUUAUUGCUGGGAUCUGGAGCACAAGCCAUUGGUGCGGCCUGAAACUCUUGGUGGAUGCUGAGGUUUCUUACAAGAUGGCAAUGCAAAAUAGGUGGUACCAAAUGCUCGAAGCAAGUGAUGCUCCUCCCCACAUAAGGCAGGUGGUGCAAGGUGUCCCAAAAAUCAGGAACUGAGAGGACAAUAUUUUCUCUAUGUUGAGCAACUCACAAGUCAUAAGACGAUACAUAUUUUUCAUUCUUUUCCUGACUCUGAUAUAUUGCUCACACAAGGUGAAGGCAGGGACUUCUUUUCCUGAGUCUGAUAUAUUAUAUAUGCUCACACAAGGUGAAGGCAAGGAUGAGGCCUUGACUUUGCGCUGCUGUGGACCAUUAUUGAAUGAAGUCACAUGGAAGUUGGGAAAGACCUAAAGAAGUUGGCAAGCCGCUCGUGUGCCUUGAUUGGACGACAAUCGUCGGCCCAUGGCCGGUUCUCUUGAGAAGGACUUGUGCGGAGGUUAAGCUCACGAAGGUAUAGUUGUUUUUUUUUUUUUUUUUUUGGCAGCUGCAGUGCUUGACAUUGGAGCAGCCGUCAGGUCGUCUUUUGCCUUCUAGUGGUUGACAUUAUGCCAGGUGGCAUAUACAGUAUAUUGCACAAGCACACCUGUGAAAUGUUGGCGGUUGUCACUUGUCAGGUGUCUGUGUGCAAGUUGGACUUGGAAUGCAAAGGCCGGCGUUGUGGUUGUGCUUUGAUUUUCCAUCUGAAUUUCCAGAUCGGCAGCCCAAAUACUUUGCAACUUUGGAAUCCAGAUUGCUAACUUUAAUUCUCUGCUAUGUGCUGCAUCUGGGAUGCAAGGAAGGAAUGUCGAAAGAUAGAUGGGCCGCUAUUACUGCUGGACUGGACUGGACUGGAGGCCCAAGACCGGUAACAAGGCGUGCACUUGGCUGCUGACAAUAGAAGCUGGGAAAAAUUGCUGGCACGUGCGUGUGUUCGUUCGAUACCAACGACUUUGCUUGCUCUACCACCUGGGUUGCUGUUCCAAUCUGCAACGACAUUACAGAUAUGCUGAGAUCUAGUGGUACAGAGUACCUUUAGCUGUGCAUAGGAGGAGUACCUUGAGCUGUGCAUAGUAGCAGUUGUUUGCUGUGCUGGAAAAAGCCAUUAAAAGAAGUUUGAUCCAUUUGGUGACU
Molecule: non-coding RNA, 2109 nt
Organism: Oryza sativa Japonica Group (Japanese rice)
Lineage: Eukaryota; Viridiplantae; Streptophyta; Magnoliopsida; Poales; Poaceae
Source: RefSeq, a predicted model, not a curated record